GCGGCGACAGGGCCAGCCUUUCUUUCGGUCGCCGAAAUUCUGCUCGGGGACGGAGGACGGGGCAACCAGAGGGAAGACUUUGCUCGCGGCCCACAGCCCUGCCUCUUCUCUCCCGCGCUGGCCGGGCGGGCUUUGCAGCCUUCUGACUGUUGGGCAACUCAGUGCCUGGAAUUUCACGCACGCCCCCGCCUCCGGGUUGAAUUCUUUGCCCGUGUCUACUUGGAGGACUUCGCAUCCCUGACUCGUCCUGGAGCACGGCUGCGCGUGUUAUUAAAAGUCUUACAGGGCUUGCCCUUCCUAGGAAUUUUCCUGUCAGCAGCAGGAAGCUAACAUACAACAUCCGUUUCAGCUACCUGAAGUCAACUGCAUUCCAGAAGCACAAGAUCCUUCUGAGGGGUUGUCUUACAGUCUAGUAGCCUAGUGCUAGGUUGCAAAAGCCGCCCCAUGUCAUCUCGUCAUGUGGGCAUUUGAUCAUCUCUCAUCAUCCUCGGAGGACGAGUGAGUACAGGACAAGAAGAUAUUUGGAGAGAGCACAUCCACAUAACCUUUAUUACGGUAUAAUUGUACCGUUCUAUUUGUUAUUGUUGCUAAUCUCUUACUAUGACUAAUUUAUAAAUCGAACUUUGUCACAGGUGUGUGUGUGUGUGUG
This is a long non-coding RNA of Herpailurus yagouaroundi (jaguarundi), 649 nucleotides long. RefSeq lists it as uncharacterized. The record is from RefSeq and is a predicted model, not a curated record. The transcript is spliced from 2 exons. NCBI's taxonomy places the organism in Eukaryota, Metazoa, Chordata, Mammalia, Carnivora, Felidae.